AGCGGGGUGGAGCAGCCUGGAGUGCUCGCAGACAACGUGCUUCUUGCACGCUGGCUAAAGGCUCAUAACCCUGAGGUCGCACGUUCAAAUCGUGCCCCCGCUACCA
Molecule: transfer RNA, 106 nt
Filed under: Candidatus Aenigmatarchaeota archaeon
Lineage: Archaea; Nanobdellati; Candidatus Aenigmatarchaeota
Description: tRNA-OTHER
Source: RNAcentral